This 250-nucleotide ribosomal RNA is filed under the name uncultured bacterium. RNAcentral describes it as "partial 16S ribosomal RNA". It matches the Rfam family "Bacterial small subunit ribosomal RNA", at positions 524 to 773 of the family's 1533-position model. The record is from RNAcentral.
UACGUAGGGGGCAAGCGUUAUCCGGAAUUACUGGGUGUAAAGGGUGCGUAGGCGGUAAUGUAAGUCAGAUGUGAAAGCCCGAAGCUCAACUUCGGGACUGCAUUUGAAACUACAUAACUAGAGUACAGGAGAGGUGAGUGGAAUUCCUAGUGUAGCGGUGAAAUGCGUAGAUAUUAGGAGGAACACCAGUGGCGAAGGCGACUCACUGGACUGUAACUGACGCUGAGGCACGAAAGCGUGGGGAGCGAAC